Molecule: transfer RNA, 72 nt
Filed under: Sus scrofa (pig)
Lineage: Eukaryota; Metazoa; Chordata; Mammalia; Artiodactyla; Suidae
Description: tRNA-Glu (TTC) (tRNA-Glu-TTC-18-1)
Rfam family: tRNA
About the family: Transfer RNA (tRNA) molecules are approximately 80 nucleotides in length. Their secondary structure includes four short double-helical elements and three loops (D, anti-codon, and T loops). Further hydrogen bonds mediate the characteristic L-shaped molecular structure. tRNAs have two regions of fundamental functional importance: the anti-codon, which is responsible for specific mRNA codon recognition, and the 3' end, to which the tRNAs corresponding amino acid is attached (by aminoacyl-tRNA synthetases). tRNAs cope with the degeneracy of the genetic code in two manners: having more than one tRNA (with a specific anti-codon) for a particular amino acid; and 'wobble' base-pairing, i.e. permitting non-standard base-pairing at the 3rd anti-codon position.
Source: Rfam by way of RNAcentral
UCCCUGGUGGUCUAGUGGUUAGGAUUCCGCACUUUCACUGCUGUGGUCUGGGUUCAAUCCCCGGCCUGGGAA